Molecule: ribosomal RNA, 683 nt
Filed under: uncultured bacterium
Lineage: Bacteria
Description: bacterial SSU rRNA
Rfam family: Bacterial small subunit ribosomal RNA
Source: RNAcentral
CAUGCAAGUCGAACGGGAUCCGGACUUCGGUUCGGUGAGAGUGGCGGACGGGUGAGUAACGCGUGGGAACCUGCCCAGUGGUGGGGGAUAACUGCGGGAAACUGCAGCUAAUACCGCAUGAGCCCGAGAGGGGAAAGAUUUAUCGCCAUUGGAGGGGCCCGCGUUCGAUUAGGUAGUUGGUGAGGUAAUGGCUCACCAAGCCUUCGAUCGAUAGCUGGUCUGAGAGGAUGAUCAGCCACACUGGGACUGAGAUACGGCCCAGACUCCUACGGGAGGCAGCAGUGGGGAAUAUUGGACAAUGGGGGAAACCCUGACCCAGCGACGCCGCGUGGGGGAUGAAGGCCUUCGGGUUGUAAACCCCUGUCGGUGGGACGAACAUUUUCCCAUCAAUAGUGGGAAAAUCUGACGGUACCACCAGAGUAAGCCCCGGCUAACUCCGUGCCAGCAGCCGCGGUAAUACGGAGGGGGCAAGUGUUGUUCGGAAUUACUGGGCGUAAAGGGCGCGCAGGCGGCUUGGCAAGUCGAGUGUGAAAUACCUCAGCUUAACUGAGGAAUGGCGCUCGAAACUACCUCGCUAGAGGGCGGGAGAGGGAAGUGGAACUCUCGGUGUAGGGGUGAAAUCUGUAGAUAUCGAGAGGAACACCGGUGGCGAAGGCGGCUUCCUGGCCCGUACCUGACGCUGA